RNAcentral lists this ribosomal RNA (253 nucleotides) under uncultured bacterium. RNAcentral describes it as "partial 16S ribosomal RNA". It matches the Rfam family "Bacterial small subunit ribosomal RNA", at positions 524 to 776 of the family's 1533-position model. The record is from RNAcentral.
UACGAAGGGGGCUAGCGUUGCUCGGAAUCACUGGGCGUAAAGCGCACGUAGGCGGAUCUUUAAGUCAGGGGUGAAAUCCUGGAGCUCAACUCCAGAACUGCCUUUGAUACUGGGGAUCUUGAGUUCGGGAGAGGUGAGUGGAACUGCGAGUGUAGAGGUGAAAUUCGUAGAUAUUCGCAAGAACACCAGUGGCGAAGGCGGCUCACUGGCCCGAUACUGACGCUGAGGCACGAAAGCGUGGGGAGCAAACAGG